This 5179-nucleotide long non-coding RNA is filed under the name Homo sapiens (human). Its description in RNAcentral is "HSALNT0070325". Lineage: Eukaryota; Metazoa; Chordata; Mammalia; Primates; Hominidae. The record is from RNAcentral.
UCUUUUUAAAAAAAAUUAUUAUUAUUUAUUUAUUUAUUUUUGAGAUGGAGUCUUGCUCUGUGACCCAGGCUGGAAUGCAAUGGCGCGAUCUCAGCUCACUGCAACCUCCGGCUCCUGGGUUCAAGCAAUCCUCCUGCCUCAGCCUCCCGAGUAGCUGGGACUACAGGCAUGCUGCCACCAUGCCUGGCUAAUUUUUGUAUUUUUAGUAGAGACGGGGUUUCACCAUCUUGGCCACACUGGUCUCGAACUCCUGAUCUCAUGUGAUCCGUCGGCCUCAGCCUCCCAAAGUGCUGGGAUUACAGGCAUGAGCCACCGUGCCUAGCCUGAAUGACCUUUUUAAUAUUGCUGCAUUAACAUUUGGCAGAGGAACUGGGUCAUUAUCUCCAUCAUCCAUUCCCAAAUUUUCCAACAUGAUUUUGAGAGUCACAGAUUGUUUGGCAAUUUCCACAUCAACUUCAAAUAGCUCUCCAUCAGAACUCAGCAACUUAAUUGAAGGUAUUAUGGGUGUUGGGUCUUAAGGAGACAGCCAGCUAGAGGCUAAGGAGAGCUUGACGGCCCCAGUGGAGAAAGAGGAAAGGCAGAGGACGGGGCCUCUGCAGCGAUGCAGCAUCUGCUCAAACAGGAUCAUUUUAAAUAGCAAUGUGUUAUACUAUGUAUGGAAAUAUAUCAGUGUGAUAUAGUAAACAGUGCCUGGGUGGGGGGUAGAUAAAUUAUAUUGGGUGAUCUGAGGAAGGACAUUUAAAGUCAUUCCUUUCUCCACUUUUUUCUUUUUUGAAAAAAAAUUUAGGACUGGACGCUGUAGGAGGGGUGACCUGGGAGGAAUGACCUUCCCAGCACUUUGGAAUGCCUCCUAGCACUUUGGGAGGCCAAGAUGGGCAGAUUGCUUGAGCUCAGGCAUUUGAGACCAGCCUGGGCAAAACAGUGAGACACCAUCUCUACCAAAAAUACAAGAAAUUAGCCGGGCGUGGUGGCGCAUGCCUGUAAUUCCAGCUACUCGGGAGGUUGAGGUGGGAGAAUCACUGGAACCAGGAAGGCAGAGGUUGCAGUGAGCGAAGACUGUGCCAUUGCACUCCAGCACUCCAGCUGUGUCUUUUGAGACACAGCAAGACUCUGUCUCAAAAGACAAACAAACAAAAAAACUAUUUUUAAUUAUUAUGCAUACAUGAAGUUGUACAUAGUUAUGGGAACUUCCUGCAUUUUUACCCUCCUAAUCCCAGAGGUACCUGUUUUCAGCUGGAAGACUCUUUGCCUCAGAGAGCUAUUGACAGCUUCCCUGAGCUGGAGAGAAGGAAACAAAAUAACCACAUCCUUUGGUCAAAGAGAUAUUUGAGUAAAGUUAAAAGUCCUGGCUUCUAGAAGGAAGUUUUUUUGCAGUACCUAGAUCAACACAUCCUGUAGCCAAUCUGAAAGGCUGUCCAAACAGGACCCAGAACAUAAGUCAGCAAUGGGUUAAGGGCUGUCAGUGGAGAAGGCGGUUUUAUUCCCCUGGUUUAGCCGUCAGGGGCUCGGCCCCCCACACGCAAGAGUUAAUAACCAAACAAUGACUGUCACUAAUUCACGGAAGGUUUGAAGCUGUUUUAGCCCCGAUGUGCUCUGUGCUCAGUCAUCCAGAAGUCACCUAGGGUGGAGGCGUUUCAUGGUCUGACACUUUGACACAAAGCCAUGUGACAAGCAAUCUCUCAAUGAUUCCUCCAAGGCCAGCAACUGUCCCACCCUGGCUGCCAAGUACAAUCUAUGACCCCCAUGCAUGCCCUCCAGCUGCCGACUCUCUCAGCAAAGUUACUUCUUUGUCCAUCAGCAUAUCUGGCAUUUUCCCCUAAAGGCUGGUUAUAAUACUUCCACCUGCUUCCAGCAAAAAUACUCAAGCAGAUUCCAAUUUUGCUUCACAUGCCGCAGGAAUGUGAAUAAUCCCAUUUAGGAAGAUGCUUGAUUAAGUUUUGAGAACCCGAAUCAACUUGGUCAUUCUUCAACCCCUAGAGCAGGGCUGUCAAGAGAAGAAACACUUCUACAUCAACUAUUGCCCAGAGAGGAGUCUUGUUAGGCUGGUUCCAAACAAAAGGAGUUCCUGUAAGAGGCAGUAAUGCGAUUUCCACAUACGAAGUCCCUUAGACCGGUGCAGACUCUUUGGCCCCAGUGAACGUGUGCUCCAGGAGACAGCUGGCCUCUGACAAAAACCAAUGUCCCCAACGCAGAGAGAAGAGAGAGCCUGUAUCAUCAGGACUAUUAUGUCAUUCAUCCUCCCAGCUGCCCAGCCUUAUAGGUGGAAAGACUCAAAAACCAAAUUUACUGAGCCAUUACCUAUAUGAAAAGUGUGUUAUCGACUGAGUGCAGUAGCUCACGCCUGUAAUCCCAACACUUUGGGAGGCCAAGGCAGGAGGAUCAUUUGAGGCCAGGACUUCAAGACCAGUCUGGGCAACAUAAGGAGACCCUGUUUCAAUUUUUUAAAAUUCUAAAGAAAAAGAAAAAUAUGUGAUCACAUCAUUUAACAGGUUUCCAGCUCUGCCGUAUUUAUACUAAAAAUCACUGGUGAUUCUGCAAGACAAAAAAAAAUUUAGUGACAUGUAGUUCUCCCAAUAUCUUUAUUGAGUUACAAAAUUACUAAUAACAUUCAUAGUCUUUCCCUCCAAGCUACCUUUCUUCUUGUGUCCAUAUAUCUGCCCAAAGUCAGAAGCUAAUUAUUCUUAGAAUAUUGUUUCGACUUUGCAAAAAUAAAAAUUAUUGUUUCAACUCUAAUACCCACUCAACCUCCACCCAAUCCAAUCAAUCAACAGCCCAAGUUGAUCCUAUCUCUGAAUUAACUCCUUUUUUGUUUGUUUGUUUGUUUAAUAGAGAUGAGGUCUCGCUAUGUUGCCCAGGCUGUUCACAAACUCCUAAGCCCAAGCAAUCCUCCUGCCUCAGCCUCCCUAAGUGCUGGGAUUAUAGCACUUAGUGAGCCACUGUACCCAACCUGAAUUAACUCUUUAACUCUUUUUUUGGGGGGGGUGGGACAGAGUCUCACUCCGUUGCCCAAGCUGAAGUGCAGUGACAUAUUCUCCACUCACUGCAACCUCAGCCUCCAGGGUUCAAGCGAUUCUCCUUCCUCAGCCUCCUGAGUAGUUGGGACCACAGGCCUGUGCCACCAACGCCUGGCUAUUUUUUGUAUCUUUAAUAGAGACAGGGUUUCACCGUGUUGGCCAGGCUGGUCUCGAACUCCUGACCUCAAGUGAUCUGCCCUCCUUGGCCUCCCAACGUGCUGCUGGAACUACACGCGUGAGCCACUGCACCCAGCCCUGAAUUAACUAUUGAAUCCGCAGCCCCUCCCCAGGCCUGGUACCACUGUUGUAGCUCAGGACCUGGCUGUGUCUCACUGGAAUAGUGAGUGUAAUAGCCCAGUGGGUUCACCUUGACCACUGCCUAGACAGAGCCAAUUUAUCAGGACAGGAAGAAUUGCAAUAGAGAAAACAGUAAAGAGUAAUUCAAGCAGAGUUAGCUGUGCAGGAGACCAGAGUCUUAUUAUUACUCAAAUCAGUCUCCCUGAGCAUAUGGGAAUCAGAGUUGUUGGUUUUUUUGAGAUAGAGUCUUGCUCUGUCACCCAGGCUAGAGUGCAGUGGCGCGAUCUCUCCGCCUCCCAGGUUCAUGCCAUUCUCCUGCCUCAGCCUCCCGAGUAGCUAGGACUACAGGCGCCCGCCACUGCACCUGGCUAAUUUUUUGUAUUUUUAGUAGAGAUGGGGUUUCACCGUGGUCUCGAUCUCCUGACCUCGUAAUCCACCUGCCUCAGGAAUCAGAGUUUUGAAGGAUAAUUUGGUGAGUAGGGGGACAGCCAGUGAGUCAGGAGUGUUGAUUGGUUGGGUCAGACAUGAACUCACCUGGGUGAAUUCCACAAGAACACAGAUGGAUGGGGGCCACAAGAUCAGAUGAGCCAAUUUAUGGAUCUGGGUGGUGCCAGCUGAUCCAUCAAGUCCAGGCUCUGCAAAAUAUCUCAAGCGCUGACCUCAGGCUUUAUAAAGUGAUGCUAUCUCCAGGAGCAAUUUGGGGAGGGUCAGAAUCUUGUAGCCUCCAGCUGCAUGACUCCUAAACCAUAAUUUCUAAUCUUUUGACUAAUUCAUUAGUCUACAAAGACACUCUAGUCCCCAGGCAAGAAAGGGGUUUGUUUUGGGAAAGGACUGUUAUCAUCUUUGUUCUAAACUAUAAACUGUAAGCUAAGUGCCUCCCAAAAUUGUACCUAGGAAUGAACAAGGACAGCUUGGAGGUUUAGAAGCAAGAUGGAAAUGGUUAGGUCAGAUCUCUUUCACUAUCCCAGACAUAAUUUUGCAACAGCGAUUUCAUGAGCAGUCCCAUAAUUGUGCUCCCUAGUACCAGUCUGGCUGCCUCCACCCUGCUAGUGUGAUGUUCUGGUCUUUUUUUUUUUUUUUUUGUCUGUUUUGAGACAGGUUCUCGCUCUGUUGCCCAGGCUGGAGUGCAGUGGUUGGAUCUCGGCUCACUACAACCUCCGCCUCCCAAGUUCAAGCGAUUCUCCUCAGCCUCCCAAUAGCUGGGAUUACAGGUGCGCACCACCACGCCCAGCUAAUUUUUGUAUUUUUAGUAGAGAUGGGCUUUCACCAUGUUGGUCAGGCUGGUCUCAAACUCCUGAUCUCAGGUGAUCCACCUGCCUCGGCCUCCCAAAGUGCCAGAAUUAUAGGCAUAAGCCACUGUCCCCAGCCUGUUUUUUUGGGCUUUGACACAGGGUCUCACUCUGUCACUUAGGCUAGAGUGCAGUGGCACGAUCACAGCUCACUGCAGCCUUGACCUCUUGGGCUCAAGCAAUCAUCCCACCCCUCAGCCUCCUAAGUAGCUGAGACUACAGGCAUGCACCACCACACCCAGCUAAUUUUUGUAUAUUUUGUAGAGGCAAGGUUUUGCCAUGUUGCCCAGGCUGGUCUUCAGCUCCUGGCUUAAGUGGUCCACCCACCCUGGCCUCUCAAAAUUCUAGGAUUACAGGUGUGAGCCACCACUGCACCCAGCCACGUGAUGUUCUAAACACAAAUCAGAACCCUGGCUCCGCAUCCACCAUAUACGAAGUCCAUGGUCUUUAGAAUGGCCCAUUGAGGCCAUUUCUUGCCUCCCCCAGGCCAACUUGGGGCCCCUCUCUCAGACCUUCACGUAUGUCCCCUGCACUGGGGAUUGCACAGCAUUUUAAUUCUUUGCUUGCAAAAUUAUCUCC